Molecule: ribosomal RNA, 253 nt
Filed under: uncultured bacterium
Lineage: Bacteria
Description: partial 16S ribosomal RNA
Rfam family: Bacterial small subunit ribosomal RNA
Source: RNAcentral
UACGGAGGGUGCAAGCGUUGCUCGGAUUUACUGGGCGUAAAGAGCACGUAGGCGGCUAAGUAAGUCUGAUGUGAAAGCCCACGACUCAAUCGUGGAAGUGCAUUGGAUACUGCUUGGCUAGAGUAUAGGAGGGGUAGGCGGAAUUCCAGGUGUAGAGGUGAAAUUCGUAGAUAUUAGGAAGAACACCAGUGGCGAAGGCGGCACUCUGGUACGGUAUUGACGCUGAGGCGCGAAAGCGUGGGGAGCAAACAGG